RNAcentral lists this ribosomal RNA (315 nucleotides) under uncultured Oscillospiraceae bacterium. RNAcentral describes it as "bacterial SSU rRNA". It matches the Rfam family "Bacterial small subunit ribosomal RNA", at positions 354 to 683 of the family's 1533-position model. The record is from RNAcentral. Lineage: Bacteria; Bacillati; Bacillota; Clostridia; Eubacteriales; Oscillospiraceae.
UGAGGGAAUAUUUGGGGGCAAUGGGCGCAAGCCUGACCCAGCAACGCCGCGUGAAGGAAGACGGUUUUCGGAUUGUAAACUUCUUUUAAGAGGGACGAUAAUGACGGUACCUCUUGAAUAAGCCACGGCUAACUACGUGCCAGCAGCCGCGGUAAUACGUAGGUGGCAAGCGUUGUCCGGAUUUACUGGGUGUAAAGGGCGAGUAGGCGGGAUAUCAAGUCAGGUGCGAAAUCCAUGGGCUCAACCCAUGAACUGCACUUGAAACUGAUAUUCUUGAGUGAUGGAGAGGCAGGCGGAAUUCCCGGUGUAGCGGUG